RNAcentral lists this ribosomal RNA (977 nucleotides) under uncultured bacterium. RNAcentral's name for it is "bacterial SSU rRNA". It matches the Rfam family "Bacterial small subunit ribosomal RNA", at positions 62 to 1033 of the family's 1533-position model. The record is from RNAcentral.
UCGAACGGCAGCGCGGGGCAACCUGGCGGCGAGUGGCGAACGGGUGAGUAAUAUAUCGGAACGUGCCCUGGAGUGGGGGAUAACGCAGCGAAAGUUGCGCUAAUACCGCAUACGAUCUAAGGAUGAAAGCGGGGGAUUCGCAAGAACCUCGUGCUCCUGGAGCGGCCGAUAUCUGAUUAGCUAGUUGGUGGGGUAAAGGCCUACCAAGGCAUCGAUCAGUAGCUGGUCUGAGAGGACGACCAGCCACACUGGAACUGAGACACGGUCCAGACUCCUACGGGAGGCAGCAGUGGGGAAUUUUGGACAAUGGGCGAAAGCCUGAUCCAGCAAUGCCGCGUGAGUGAAGAAGGCCUUCGGGUUGUAAAGCUCUUUUGUCAGGGAAGAAACGGUGAAGGCUAAUAUCCUUUGCUAAUGACGGUACCUGAAGAAUAAGCACCGGCUAACUACGUGCCAGCAGCCGCGGUAAUACGUAGGGUGCAAGCGUUAAUCGGAAUUACUGGGCGUAAAGCGUGCGCAGGCGGUUUUGUAAGUCUGUCGUGAAAUCCCCGGGCUCAACCUGGGAAUUGCGAUGGAGACUGCAAGGCUAGAAUCUGGCAGAGGGGGGUAGAAUUCCACGUGUAGCAGUGAAAUGCGUAGAGAUGUGGAGGAACACCGAUGGCGAAGGCAGCCCCCUGGGUCAAGAUUGACGCUCAUGCACGAAAGCGUGGGGAGCAAACAGGAUUAGAUACCCUGGUAGUCCACGCCCUAAACGAUGUCUACUAGUUGUCGGGUUUUAAUUAACUUGGUAACGCAGCUAACGCGUGAAGUAGACCGCCUGGGGAGUACGGUCGCAAGAUUAAAACUCAAAGGAAUUGACGGGGACCCGCACAAGCGGUGGAUGAUGUGGAUUAAUUCGAUGCAACGCGAAAAACCUUACCUACCCUUGACNUGUANGGAAGCCACGAGANAUCGANNUGUGCUCGAAAGANAGCCGUANC